Molecule: ribosomal RNA, 379 nt
Filed under: uncultured eukaryote
Lineage: Eukaryota
Description: partial 18S ribosomal RNA
Rfam family: Eukaryotic small subunit ribosomal RNA
Source: RNAcentral
CAAUAGCGUAUAUUUAAGUUGUUGCAGUUAAAAAGCUCGUAGUUGGAUUUCGGAUGGGACUUGCCGGUCCGUCGUUUCGAUGUGCACUGGCCAGUCCUAUCUUGUUGUCGGGGACUAGAUCCUGGGCUUCACUGUCCGGGACUAGGAGCUGACGAGGUUACUUUGAGUAAAUUAGAGUGUUCAAAGCAAGCCUACGCUCUGAAUACAUUAGCAUGGAAUAACACGAUAGGACUCUGGCUUAUCUUGUUGGUCUGUGAGACCAGAGUAAUGAUUAAGAGGGACAGUCGGGGGCAUUCGUAUUUCAUUGUCAGAGGUGAAAUUCUUGGAUUUAUGAAAGACGAACUUCUGCGAAAGCAUUUGUCAAGGAUGUUUUCAUUAA